GCCAGGUGCGGUGGUGCACACCUGUAAUCCCAGAGGCUCAGGAGGCUGAGACAGGAUGAUCAGGAGUUCAAAUCCAGCCUCAGCUGGCACUAUGUAACUCAGUAAGAUCCUGUCUCUA
Molecule: small RNA, 118 nt
Filed under: Marmota monax (woodchuck)
Lineage: Eukaryota; Metazoa; Chordata; Mammalia; Rodentia; Sciuridae
Source: RNAcentral